AUUGAACGCUGGCGGCAUGCUUUACACAUGCAAGUCGAACGGCAGCACAGGGAGCUUGCUCCCGGGUGGCGAGUGGCGCACGGGUGAGUAAUACAUCGGAACGUGUCCUGUUGUGGGGGAUAACUGCUCGAAAGGGUGGCUAAUACCGCAUGAGACCUGAGGGUGAAAGCGGGGGAUCGCAAGACCUCGCGCAAUUGGAGCGGCCGAUGCCCGAUUAGCUAGUUGGUGAGGUAAAGGCUCACCAAGGCGACGAUCGGUAGCUGGUCUGAGAGGACGACCAGCCACACUGGGACUGAGACACGGCCCAGACUCCUACGGGAGGCAGCAGUGGGGAAUUUUGGACAAUGGGGGGCAACCCUGAUCCAGCCAUGCCGCGUGCAGGAUGAAGGCCUCGGGUUGUAACUGCUUUGUCA
Molecule: ribosomal RNA, 413 nt
Filed under: uncultured bacterium
Lineage: Bacteria
Description: bacterial SSU rRNA
Rfam family: Bacterial small subunit ribosomal RNA
Source: RNAcentral